GGGGAAGAGAACUGGAGUUUGAGUGCACAAAAAAGGCCAUAUAGGGGCCCAGGGAGAAGGCAGCUAUCUACAACUCAAGACCUCAUCAGACACUAACUCUUCUGGCACUGUUAUCUUAGACUUCUGACUUUCAGAAGUGUGAAAAGAUAAAUUUCUGUCGUUUAGGUUACCAAGUUUGUGGCAUUUUGUGAUGGCAGCCUGAGGAGACUAUUAGGUAGACAUUUUGAUGGAUAAAGGCGAAGAUUUUAACUCUGUCAAUAUGGUACUCUAUGACAUGGCCACAACCCACUCUCUCUGCCUACAGUCGCCCUGUAGGUUGCACAACAUGAAUCUGAAAUCACUCUACCCCAAAACAACAAUAACAACAACAACAACAACAACAACAACAACAGUCUUUGUUUAA
RNAcentral lists this long non-coding RNA (403 nucleotides) under Pan paniscus (pygmy chimpanzee). RNAcentral describes it as "lncRNA (ENSPPAG00000044274.1)". Lineage: Eukaryota; Metazoa; Chordata; Mammalia; Primates; Hominidae. The record is from RNAcentral.